This 254-nucleotide ribosomal RNA is filed under the name uncultured bacterium. Its description in RNAcentral is "partial 16S ribosomal RNA". It matches the Rfam family "Bacterial small subunit ribosomal RNA", at positions 524 to 776 of the family's 1533-position model. The record is from RNAcentral.
UACGGGGGGAGCAAGCGUUGUUCGGAUUUACUGGGCGUAAAGGGCGCGUAGGCGGUCAGCACAAGUCAGUUGUGAAAUCUCCGGGCUUAACUCGGAAAGGUCAACUGAUACUGUGCGACUAGAGUGCGGAAGGGGCAACUGGAAUUCUCGGUGUAGCGGUGAAAUGCGUAGAUAUCGAGAGGAACACCUGCGGCGAAGGCGGGUUGCUGGGCCGACACUGACACUGAGAGACGAAAGCUAGGGGAGCAAACGGG